GAUGAACGCUGGCGGCGUGCCUAAUACAUGCCAGUCGAGCGAACGGACGAGAAGCUUGCUUCUCUGAUGUUAGCGGCGGACGGGUGAGUAACACGUGGAUAACCUACCUAUAAGACUGGGAUAACUUCGGGAAACCGGAGCUAAUACCGGAUGAUAUUUUGAACCGCAUGGUUCAAAAGUGAAAGACGGUCUUGCUGUCACUUAUAGAUGGAUCCGCGCUGCAUUGGCUAGUUGGUAAGGUAACGGCUUACCAAGGCAACGAUGCAUAGCCGACCUGAGAGGGGGAUCGGCCACACUAGAACUGAGACACGGUCCAGACUCCUACGGGAGGCAGCAGUAGGGAAUCUUCCGCAAUGGGCGAAAGCCUGACGGAGCAACGCCGCGUGAGUGAGGAAGGUCUUCGGAUCGUAAAACUCUGUUAUUAGGGAAGAACAUAUGUGUAAGUAACUGUGCACAUCUGGACGGUACCUAAGCAGAAAGCCACGGCUAACUACGG
RNAcentral lists this ribosomal RNA (496 nucleotides) under uncultured bacterium. RNAcentral describes it as "partial 16S ribosomal RNA". It matches the Rfam family "Bacterial small subunit ribosomal RNA", at positions 28 to 506 of the family's 1533-position model. The record is from RNAcentral.